AACGAACGCUGGCGGCAUGCCUAACACAUGCAAGUCGAACGAGAUCUUCGGGUCUAGUGGCGCACGGGUGCGUAACGCGUGGGAAUCUGCCCUUUGGUUCGGAAUAACAGUUGGAAACGACUGCUAAUACCGGAUGAUGACGAAAGUCCAAAGAUUUAUCACCAGAGGAUGAGCCCGCGUAGGAUUAGCUAGUUGGUGUGGUAAAGGCGCACCAAGGCGACGAUCCUUAGCUGGUCUGAGAGGAUGAUCAGCCACACUGGGACUGAGACACGGCCCAGACUCCUACGGGGGGCAGCAGUGGGGAAUAUUGGACAAUGGGCGAAAGCCUGAUCCAGCAAUGCCGCGUGAGUGAUGAAGGCCUUAGGGUUGUAAAGCUCUUUUACCCGGGAUGAUAAUGACAGUACCGGGAGAAUAAGCUCCGGCUAACUCCGUGCCAGCCGCCGCAGUAA
This 449-nucleotide ribosomal RNA is filed under the name uncultured bacterium. RNAcentral describes it as "partial 16S ribosomal RNA". It matches the Rfam family "Bacterial small subunit ribosomal RNA", at positions 29 to 523 of the family's 1533-position model. The record is from RNAcentral.